GACGAACGCUGGCGGCGUGCUUAACACAUGCAAGUCGAACGGAAAGGCCCUGCUUUUGUGGGGUGCUCGAGUGGCGAACGGGUGAGUAGCACGUGAGUAACCUGCCCUUGACUUUGGGAUAACUUCAGGAAACUGGGGCUAAUACCGGAUAGGAGCUCCUGCUGCAUGGUGGGGGUUGGAAAGUUUCGGCGGUUGGGGAUGGACUCGCGGCUUAUCAGCUUGUUGGUGGGGUAGUGGCUUACCAAGGCUUUGACGGGUAGCCGGCUUGAGAGGGUGACCGGCCACAUUGGGACUGAGAUACGGCCCAGACUCCUACGGGAGGCAGCAGUGGGGAAUAUUGCACAAUGGGCGGAAGCCUGAUGCAGCAACGCCGCGUGCGGGAUGACGGCCUUCGGGUUGUAAACCGCUUUCGCCUGUGACGAAGCGUGAGUGACGGUAAUGGGUAAAGAAGCACCGGCUAACUACGUG
This 468-nucleotide ribosomal RNA is filed under the name uncultured bacterium. RNAcentral describes it as "partial 16S ribosomal RNA". It matches the Rfam family "Bacterial small subunit ribosomal RNA", at positions 28 to 507 of the family's 1533-position model. The record is from RNAcentral.